Molecule: long non-coding RNA, 242 nt
Organism: Clupea harengus (Atlantic herring)
Lineage: Eukaryota; Metazoa; Chordata; Actinopteri; Clupeiformes; Clupeidae
Exons: 3
Source: RefSeq, a predicted model, not a curated record
UUUAACAGUGAAGUACAGUGCUUUGUGGUAUAGUGUCCCUUUUUUCCAAUAGGUGCUGAAUUUUGGGUUUCCAGCUUCUACAAAGAAUAGCUAGUCAACAGAACAUUGACAUCUUUGCUGCUGAUUGCCAUGUGACUCUCACCUGGUUGCCCCCAUAUUCAGCAGACCCCAUGGAUCACCUCCCUAGAACUUUCUCAGGAGAUAAGUGAGUGUCUGGACAGAUUUUUCAUGUGACAACCUUG